AAACAGACCCUAAAUAUAAUAAUUUACCUUUGUUUGGGAAAGAGGAAAGAAGCAAGAAAGGAAAUGGAAAGAAAAUGGGAUGAAAAAUACACAUUGGGCCCACCAUUUUUUUUCCCUCAAAUUCAUUCCUUCUAUUUUCCUUCCAAUCUAAACAAUGAUAGAGGAUUCCUUCUACUCUCCUUCCAAUCCAAACAAUGGGAGGACAAUUCUUUUUCUAUCCAACUUUCAUCCCUCCCAUCCCCCCUCCCAAAAUUUGCUUCCAAACAUAGGGUAAAGGAGGGUUCAACGAGAUUAUUUAGACGUGAUAAUAAGAAUAGCGAGUACAUCAGCAAAGGAAUGGCUUGGCUCAAACAGGAAAAAGGAUAUGCAAAUAUGCACAAGAUGAAAAGCAAAAUUCUGCAACUUGAGCAGAAUGUCUGUAUGCUAAAAAGCAGGAUUUAAGACCAAGCAUCAUAUGCAGAGCAUAAGGUUCAGGAAAUUAACCUGGAGACGAUUAAGCACGUAAG
RNAcentral lists this unclassified non-coding RNA (506 nucleotides) under Hevea brasiliensis (rubber tree). The record is from RNAcentral. Lineage: Eukaryota; Viridiplantae; Streptophyta; Magnoliopsida; Malpighiales; Euphorbiaceae.